GACGAACGCUGGCGGCGUGCUUAACACAUGCAAGUCGAGCGGUAAGGCUCCUUCGGGAGUACACGAGCGGCGAACGGGUGAGUAACACGUGAGCAAUCUGCCCUUCACAUGGGAAUAACUUCGGGAAACCGAAGCUAAUACCGAAUACGACCACCGAUGGCAUCUUCUGGUGGUGGAAAGUUCCGGCGGUGAAGGAUGAGCUCGCGGCCUAUCAGCUUGUGGUGAGGUAAUGGCCCACCAAGGCGACGACGGGUAGCCGGCCUGAGAGGGUGACCGGCCACACUGGGACUGAGACACGGCCCAGACUCCUACGGGAGGCAGCAGUGGGGAAUAUUGGACAAUGGGCGAAAGCCUGAUCCAGCAACGCCGCGUGAGGGAUGACGGCCUCGGUGUAA
This 395-nucleotide ribosomal RNA is filed under the name uncultured bacterium. Its description in RNAcentral is "bacterial SSU rRNA". It matches the Rfam family "Bacterial small subunit ribosomal RNA", at positions 28 to 428 of the family's 1533-position model. The record is from RNAcentral.